This 2179-nucleotide ribosomal RNA is filed under the name Munidopsis rostrata. RNAcentral's name for it is "partial 28S ribosomal RNA". It matches the Rfam family "Eukaryotic large subunit ribosomal RNA", at positions 590 to 1857 of the family's 3401-position model. Lineage: Eukaryota; Metazoa; Arthropoda; Malacostraca; Decapoda; Munidopsidae. The record is from RNAcentral.
UUGGCGGGCGUAUUUCCCCCCGUAGUAGAAUGCCGCGACCCAUUGCUUGGGGGACGUCAAAGGCCCGGUUGGAUUGGUACCUCGUUAACUCAUUUCCAUUUGGUGGGCUUCACUGUCGACCAUGGGUGAGUGGCGUGGGAAACCUCCGGUGUCAUAUAUAUCCUGACUGCCCUGCGAUGGUCGUUGAGGAGAGCUUACGGGCUUUCGCGGUGUCGAAUCCAUUUCAGUGGACCACCCGACCCGUCUUGAAACACGGACCAAGGAGUCUAACAUGUGUGCAAGUCAUUGGGUUCACUAAACCUAAAGGCAAAAUGAAAGUGUCAAAAGUAUAUGGAGUGUAAUGCUCCUUGGGUUGAUCCUUGACCGGCUGCCGGCAACUAGGUCCUUUGGGAGAAGUGGGGAGGUGAGAACCUUUCCCUCCUUAACCUCUCAUUGGACGUCUGUUGUUCGAGCGAAGGUCUAUGCUCCUUGGGGAGGGGGCGCAAACCCGGGACUUGCCAUGUGACGCACUGUAUCUCUGCUUCUUCUCGUAUGAGUUGUUGGUUAGUGUGCAGUUGUAGUCGGCAAGUACCCUGAGCAGGCAUGUUGGGACCCGAAAGAUGGUGAACUAUGCCUGGCCAGGAUGAAGCCAGAGGAAACUCUGGUGGAGGUCCGCAGUGAUUCUGACGUGCAAAUCGAUCGUCUGAGCUGGGUAUAGGGGCGAAAGACUAAUCGAACCAUCUAGUAGCUGGUUCCCUCCGAAGUUUCCCUCAGGAUAGCUGGGACUCGUUGGAUGAAUUUCAUCCGGUAAAGCGAAUGAUUAGAGGUCUUGGGGGCGAAACGCCCUCAACCUAUUCUCAAACUUUAAAUGGGUGAGAUGCCAAGCUUGCUUAAAUAGUGAAGCUUUGGUGAUUAAUCUGAGUGUCUAGUGGGCCACUUUUGGUAAGCAGAACUGGCGCUGUGGGAUGAACCAAACGUUGAGUUAAGGGGCCUAAAUGAAUGCUCAUUAAGAUCCCACGAAAGGUGUUGGUUGCUAUAGACAGCAGGACGGUGGCCAUGGAAGUUGGAAUCCGCUAAGGAGUGUGUAACAACUCACCUGCCGAAGCAACUAGCCCUUAAAAUGGUAUGGCGCUAAAGCAUUCUCCCGAUACUCAACCGCCGGGGCACUACAGGCUAGAGGCCUUUGCAAAAGGCAGGUCUCGAAGCCCCGGUGAGUAGGAGGGUCGCGAUGGUGAGCGUUGAAGGGUAUGGCGUGAGCCGGCCUGGAGCCUCCAUUGGUGCAGAUCUUGGUGGUAGUAGCAAAUAGCCGAGAGAGACUCCCUUGAAGACCGAAGUGGAGAAGGGUUCCAUGUGAACAUCAGUUGGACAUGGGUUAGUCAGUCCUAAGCCCAAGGCUAAUGCCUUAUACCACGCUAGCGGCAAUGACCGAGCGAGUAUAUGUACACCCUAAGGGGGGGGGUGAAAGCCAGUGUGUAAUCUGYUUCAGUAUACAAACACACAGAGAAGGAGAAGGAGAAGGAGAAGGAGAAGGAGAAGGAGAAGGAGAAAGAGAGAGAGGGGGNNNNNNNNNNNNNNNNNNNNNNNNNNNNNNNNNNNNNNNNNNNNNNNNNNNNNNNNNNNNNNNNNNNNNNNNNNNNNNNNNNNNNNNNNGUGGUGGUGUUGAUGCAAUACUGAAAGACAACCAUUUUGGUGAACAUGUAUGUUGACAAGGUAUGCUCUGGGAUGCAUACUGCUCUGUUCAUAUAUAUAUUUUGAUUGGAAGGCUGUUUGCAAUAUGAUCUGGAUUUUGAGUUCUCUUCUUGAAGAGUUCUCUUCUGAAAGUCUAAGAACAGAUAUCAAAAUUGCCCGUUGGGACUUUGUGGCGAAAGGGAAUACGGUACUUAUUCCGUAACCUGGUCUGGAACAUCCUUUGGGAAACCAUUGGAACGCAGGAACCUGGUAACAGGAACAAGCCUGCGUCCAUCGGUGGAGGCCCGGGAAAGAGUUUUCUUUUCUGUUUAAGGCGCUGUGACCCUGGAAGCCACUCGCAGAGAGAAAGGGUGUUGGUAAAACAGUUGCCGUAGAGUGCUGCGGUUCUUGCAGCAUCCCGCGUGCCUCUGCCGGUCCUUGAAAAACGCAUGUGCGGCAACCUGCAGACAAGGUGAAGCGGUCCCCAGAACCGUGAUGUACCUAAUUUCAGACCAGCCUGUACCCAUAUCCG